RNAcentral lists this ribosomal RNA (397 nucleotides) under uncultured bacterium. Its description in RNAcentral is "partial 16S ribosomal RNA". It matches the Rfam family "Bacterial small subunit ribosomal RNA", at positions 523 to 918 of the family's 1533-position model. The record is from RNAcentral.
AUACGUAGGUGGCAAGCGUUGUCCGGAAUUAUUGGGCGUAAAGCGCGCGCAGGUGGUUCAUUAAGUCUGAUGUGAAAGCCCCCGGCUCAACGGGGGAGGGUCAUUGGAAACUGGGGGACUUGAGUGCGGAAGAGGAUAGUGGAAUUCCAAGUGUAGCGGUGAAAUGCGUAGAGAUUUGGAGGAACACCAGUGGCGAAGGCGACUGUCUGGUCUGUAACUGACACUGAGGCGCGAAAGCGUGGGGAGCAAACAGGAUUAGAUACCCUGGUAGUCCACGCCGUAAACGAUGAGUGCUAAGUGUUGGGGGGUUUCCGCCCCUCAGUGCUGCAGCUAACGCAUUAAGCACUCCGCCUGGGGAGUACGGUCGCAAGACUGAAACUCAAAUGAAUUGACGGGG